RNAcentral lists this ribosomal RNA (275 nucleotides) under Escherichia coli. RNAcentral's name for it is "partial 23S ribosomal RNA". It matches the Rfam family "Bacterial large subunit ribosomal RNA", at positions 2673 to 2925 of the family's 2925-position model. Lineage: Bacteria; Pseudomonadati; Pseudomonadota; Gammaproteobacteria; Enterobacterales; Enterobacteriaceae. The record is from RNAcentral.
UGCUCCUAGUACGAGAGGACCGGAGUGGACGCAUCACUGGUGUUCGGGUUGUCAUGCCAAUGGCACUGCCCGGUAGCUAAAUGCGGAAGAGAUAAGUGCUGAAAGCAUCUAAGCACGAAACUUGCCCCGAGAUGAGUUCUCCCUGACCCUUUAAGGGUCCUGAAGGAACGUUGAAGACGACGACGUUGAUAGGCCGGGUGUGUAAGCGCAGCGAUGCGUUGAGCUAACCGGUACUAAUGAACCGUGAGGCUUAACCUUACAACGCCGAAGCUGUU